RNAcentral lists this ribosomal RNA (520 nucleotides) under uncultured cyanobacterium. RNAcentral describes it as "bacterial SSU rRNA". It matches the Rfam family "Bacterial small subunit ribosomal RNA", at positions 355 to 888 of the family's 1533-position model. The record is from RNAcentral. Lineage: Bacteria; Bacillati; Cyanobacteriota.
UGGGGAAUUUUCCGCAAUGGGCGAAAGCCUGACGGAGCAAUACCGCGUGAGGGACAAAGGCCUUCGGGUUGUAAACCUCUUUUAUCAAGGAGGAAAUUUUGACGUGUACUUGAUGAAUAAGCAUCGGCUAACUCCGUGCCAGCAGCCGCGGUAAGACGGAGGAUGCAAGUGUUAUCCGGAAUUAUUGGGCGUAAAGCGUCUGUAGGUGGUUUAAAAAGUCUACGGUUAAAAAUUGAAGCUUAACUUCAAAGAUGCCCUGGAAACUUUUAAACUUGAGUAUGGUAGGGGUAAAGGGAAUUUCCAGUGGAGCGGUGAAAUGCGUAGAUAUUGGAAAGACCACCGAUGGCGAAGGCACUUUACUGGGCCAUUACUGACACUAAGAGACGAAAGCUAGGGGAGCAAAUGGGAUUAGAUACCCCAGUAGUCCUAGCUGUAAACGAUGGAUACUAGAUGUUGUGUGUAUUGACCCAUGCAGUAUCGUAGCUAACGCGUUAAGUAUCCCGCCUGGGAAGUAUGCUCG